ACCGAAUCAAUGCUGAAACCGUGAUGCGAGAUGUACCGUCACUUUCAGGUGAUGGCUCCGACAUCUUGGGCGGGGAGAGGUUCAUGUUCCCUCCCACCAACCAGUACGACCUGGGGGCAAGAACACCAAGGUGCGGCGAUGAGAAUGGCUGGGCUGCGGGAGCUGCGCGUCCUUAGAAGCUCGCCAUGCUCCCAGAAGCAAUGUCAGCCCGCUCCCCCUCCGCUUCAGAGCAACCGUUCCCCUUCCUCUGCUGCUGCCGCCGCCGCCGCCUCCCCUUCCCACGCAGGACGCAGCAGCAGCCAAAUCCGCUCGAGGAACUCGCUACCCGAACCCAGGACUGUCGCGGCAAACGCGCGCCACUGCGGGCGUCAUCGCCCGGAGUCCUCGGCUGAGCACCCGCACCACCUCAAAGCUCCAACCUUUCCCCGAAGAAGCGAAGAGAAGCGCCGGAGCGGGCAAGCUGGGUUCUGGGCAGC
RNAcentral lists this unclassified non-coding RNA (476 nucleotides) under Zea mays. RNAcentral describes it as "misc RNA Zm00001eb031710". Lineage: Eukaryota; Viridiplantae; Streptophyta; Magnoliopsida; Poales; Poaceae. The record is from RNAcentral.